This 402-nucleotide ribosomal RNA is filed under the name uncultured bacterium. RNAcentral's name for it is "bacterial SSU rRNA". It matches the Rfam family "Bacterial small subunit ribosomal RNA", at positions 355 to 774 of the family's 1533-position model. The record is from RNAcentral.
UGGGGAAUAUUGGACAAUGGGCGCAAGCCUGAUCCAGCCAUGCCGCGUGAGUGAUGAAGGCCCUAGGGUUGUAAAGCUCUUUUGUGCGGGAAGAUAAUGACGGUACCGCAAGAAUAAGCCCCGGCUAACUUCGUGCCAGCAGCCGCGGUAAGACGUAGGAUGCAAGCGUUGUCCGGAUUCAUUGGGCGUAAAGAGUUCGUAGGUGGUCUGUUAAGUUUGGUGUUAAAGAGCGGGGCCCAACCCCGAUAGUGCACUGAAUACUGGCAUACUUGAGUGCGGUAGAGGUAAGUGGAAUUCCAAGUGUAGCGGUGAAAUGCAUAGAUAUUUGGAAGAACACCGGUGGCGUAAGCGACUUACUGGGCCGUAACUGACACUGAGGAACGAAAGCCGGGGUAGCGAAUG